RNAcentral lists this ribosomal RNA (606 nucleotides) under uncultured bacterium. RNAcentral describes it as "bacterial SSU rRNA". It matches the Rfam family "Bacterial small subunit ribosomal RNA", at positions 49 to 652 of the family's 1533-position model. The record is from RNAcentral.
UUACACAUGCAAGUCGAACGGUAACAGGUCUUUGGAUGCUGACGAGUGGCGAACGGGUGAGUAAUACAUCGGAACGUGCCCGAUCGUGGGGGAUAACGAAGCGAAAGCUUUGCUAAUACCGCAUACGAUCUACGGAUGAAAGCAGGGGACCGCAAGGCCUUGCGCGAACGGAGCGGCCGAUGGCAGAUUAGGUAGUUGGUGGGAUAAAAGCUUACCAAGCCGACGAUCUGUAGCUGGUCUGAGAGGACGACCAGCCACACUGGGACUGAGACACGGCCCAGACUCCUACGGGAGGCAGCAGUGGGGAAUUUUCGACAAUGGGCGAAAGCCUGAUCCAGCCAUGCCGCGUGCAGGAUGAAGGCCUUCGGGUUGUAAACUGCUUUUGUACGGAACGAAAAGACUCUGGUUAAUACCUGGGGUCCAUGACGGUACCGUAAGAAUAAGCACCGGCUAACUACGUGCCAGCAGCCGCGGUAAUACGUAGGGUGCAAGCGUUAAUCGGAAUUACUGGGCGUAAAGCGUGCGCAGGCGGUUAUAUAAGACAGAUGUGAAAUCCCCGGGCUCAACCUGGGAACUGCAUUUGUGACUGUAUAGCUAGAGUACGGC